GGCCAUAGCUUAGUGGUAGAGCAUCUGUUUUGCAUGCAGAUGGUCCCAGGUCCAAUCCCCAGCAGCAUCU
This is a non-coding RNA of Podarcis lilfordi (Lilford's wall lizard), 70 nucleotides long. The record is from the annotation of a GenBank genome assembly. NCBI's taxonomy places the organism in Eukaryota, Metazoa, Chordata, Lepidosauria, Squamata, Lacertidae.